GCUUUUUUCGGAAUGUGGAGAUUUAACAGGGCCAUAAAUUCAUGCCUUGAUCAUAUUCUUGAUCUGGAUGGAAGUCGGAUACAGAGGGAGUUAGCAAAUAUUUUUGUGAACAAACAUCAGGAUGAUCCCUGGACAAUGAAACGUAUGUAUAGACAUUUCUAUUCAGAGAAUGUGUUUGACGACUCAAACUCAGAUAAGCCGAUAUUAAGGCGGCGU
This 216-nucleotide unclassified non-coding RNA is filed under the name Hevea brasiliensis (rubber tree). Lineage: Eukaryota; Viridiplantae; Streptophyta; Magnoliopsida; Malpighiales; Euphorbiaceae. The record is from RNAcentral.